RNAcentral lists this non-coding RNA (22 nucleotides) under Arabidopsis thaliana (thale cress). Lineage: Eukaryota; Viridiplantae; Streptophyta; Magnoliopsida; Brassicales; Brassicaceae. The record is from RNAcentral.
UCCAAAUCUGCAAUUAAUCUCC